This 71-nucleotide transfer RNA is filed under the name Phrynosoma platyrhinos (Desert horned lizard). RNAcentral's name for it is "tRNA-OTHER". The record is from RNAcentral. Lineage: Eukaryota; Metazoa; Chordata; Lepidosauria; Squamata; Phrynosomatidae.
GCCAGAGUGGUGUAGUGGUUUGAGUAUUGGACUAAGACUCUGGAGACCAGGGUUUGAAUCCCGGCCUGGCC